UACGUAGGGGGCAAGCGUUGUCCGGAUUUAUUGGGCGUAAAGAGCGUGUAGGCGGCCAGACAAGUCUGCUGUGAAAACUCGAGGCUCAACCUCGAGCUGUCGGCGGAAACUGUCUGGCUAGAGUCCGGAAGAGGAGAGUGGAAUUCCUGGUGUAGCGGUGAAAUGCGCAGAUAUCAGGAAGAACACCUAUGGCGAAGGCGGUUCUCUGGGACGGUACUGACGCUGAGACGCGAAAGCGUGGGGAGCGAACAGG
This 253-nucleotide ribosomal RNA is filed under the name uncultured bacterium. RNAcentral's name for it is "partial 16S ribosomal RNA". It matches the Rfam family "Bacterial small subunit ribosomal RNA", at positions 524 to 776 of the family's 1533-position model. The record is from RNAcentral.